CAAAGAUUAAGCCAUGCAUGUCUCAGUGCAAGCCAAAUUAAGGUGAAACCGCGAAAGGCUCAUUAAAUCAGCUAUAAUUUAAUUGAUGGUACAAUCACGGUUACUUGGAUAACUGUGGCAAUUCUAGAGCUAAUACAUGCAAAACGAGUUCCGACCGCGCGUCCGAGAGGUAGCGCGGAACGAAUGCUUUUAUUAGAACAAAACCAAUCGGAUCUUUCGUCGCGGGCUCGUCGAACGCGCGCGAGCGUCGUCGACGGCGGCUCGUAGCACGAAAGCAAUCCGCAAAUUCUUGACGACUCUGAAUAACUUUGGGCUGAUCGCACGGUCACGCACCGGCGACGCAUCUUUCAAAUGUCUGACUUAUCAACUUUCGAUGGUAGGCUACGCGCCUACCAUGGUGAUAACGGGUGACGGGGAAUCAGGGUUCGAUUCCGGAGAGGGAGCCUGAGAAACGGCUACCACAUCCAAGGAAGGCAGCAGGCGCGCAAAUUACCCACUCCCGGCACGGGGAGGUAGUGACGAAAAAUAACGAUGCAGGACUCUUUCCGAGGCUCUGCAAUCGGAAUGAGCACACUCUAAAUCAUUUAACGAGUAUCCAUUGGAGGGCAAGUCUGGUGCCAGCAGCCGCGGUAAUUCCAGCUCCAAUAGCGUAUAUUAAAGUUGCUGCGGAUAAAAAGCUCGUAGUUUGAUUUGUGUUCCGAGCAGUCGGUACGCCGUUCGUCGGCGCCUAACUGACUCGCGGCGGAACGUCCUGCCGGUUGACGGAGCGGGGGGCGGUUCUACGGAACGCGGCGGCGAAAGGCGUUCUCACGCCGUCACGGCGAAACGCGGAUGGAGCCGAUCGGAGGUGAAAAAUGAUCGCGGUUACNAUCGCGAAUUAGCCGCUUGCGCGCGAUCGCUUUCCGCCGCGGCGAACGAUCCGAAUUUCGCGCGUGCUAGCGUCUCGCGUUCGUUUCGGCGAGCGCGUGCGCGCGAGCUCGCGCGAUGCGGUUCGAUAAAUUCGUCGCGGGUUCAACGGUGGCGCGUCGUCGUCGCACGCGGCGUUCGCGUAUCGACGCGAUCGUCAAAAAUUUUUCUCUCCAUUUAAAUCGGCAAAAAAAUUUCCGAGCGAUUUUUUCGCCCGGUAUUUUUUUCNCGUCCACUCUGCGAUUUUCGUUUCUCUCGUGCGAAACGGAGUUCGCGCAAAACUUUCGCCGGNCCGCUCGUCCNNCUUUAGCCGGGAUCGUUUUUUUUUUUUUUUUUCGUGUCGUUCGUCGUUCGCGCGCUCCCGCCGCGGCGAACGUUUUUCGCCUCGCGUUUCCGCUCCGGGAAAAACCGUACGUUUUUUUCCGUAAAUUUUUUUUUGCGCGGGAAACGAAACGUCCGCUUAAAAAACGGCGUCACUGCGUCCGUCAGUCUUAGAAUCCCGUCGCGGUGCUCUUAACCGAGUGACGCGCCGGGCCGGCACGUUUACUUUGAACAAAACUGAGUGCUUAAAGCAGGCCAAACCCAGCCGCCGGAAAGUCCAAUGCAUGGAAUAAUGGAAUAGGGCCACGGUUCUAUUUUGUUGGUUUUCGGAAUUUCCGAGGCAAUGAUUAAUGGGGACAGGCGGGGGCAUUAGUAUUGCGGCGUUAGAGGUGAAAUUCUUGGAUCGUCGCAAGACUAACCUAAGCGAAAGCAUUUGCCAAGGAUGUUUUCUUUAAUCAAGAACGAAAGUUGGAGGUUCGAAGGCGAUCAGAUACCGCCCUAGUUCUUACCGUAAACUAUGCCGGCUAGCGAUCCGUCGAUGUUCGUUUAGAUGAUUCAGCGGGCAGCUUGAGGGAAACCAAAGCCUUCGGGUUCCGGGGGAAGUAUGGUUGCAAAGCUGAAACUUAAAGGAAUUGACGGAAGGGCACCACCAGGAGUGGAGCUUGCGGCUUAAUUUGACUCAACACGGGAAACCUCACCAGGCCCGGACACCGGAAGGAUUGACAGAUCAAGAGCUCUUUCUUGAUUCGGUGGGUGGUGGUGCAUGGCCGUUCUUAGUUGGUGGAGCGAUUUGUCUGGUUAAUUCCGAUAACGAACGAGACUCUAGCCUGUUAACUAGGCGACGAUCCGCCUUCGCGCGGAUUUUCCGGCAUGGAGCGAUUUUCAUUUUUCAAACACUGCCGGCGACGUGAUUUCUUCUUAGAGGGACAAGCGGCUUCUAGCCGCACGAGAUUGAGCAAUAACAGGUCUGUGAUGCCCUUAGAUGUUCUGGGCCGCACGCGUGCUACACUGAAGGAAUCAACGUGUACGACCGUCCUAGGCCGAGAGGUCCGGGGAACCCGUUGAAUUUCCUUCGUGAUAGGGAUCGGGGCUUGCAAUUGUUUCCCGUGAACUAGGAAUUCCCAGUAAGCGCGAGUCAUAAGCUCGCGUUGAUUACGUCCCUGCCCUUUGUACACACCGCCCGUCGCUACUACCGAUCGAACGAUUUAGUGAGGUCUUUGGACU
RNAcentral lists this ribosomal RNA (2451 nucleotides) under Linognathoides marmotae. RNAcentral describes it as "partial 18S ribosomal RNA". It matches the Rfam family "Eukaryotic small subunit ribosomal RNA". Lineage: Eukaryota; Metazoa; Arthropoda; Insecta; Psocodea; Polyplacidae. The record is from RNAcentral.